UUAAGCGACUAAGCGUACACGGUGGAUGCCCUGGCAGUCAGAGGCGAUGAAGGACGUGCUAAUCUGCGAAAAGCGUCGGUAAGGUGAUAUGAACCGUUAUAACCGGCGAUGUCCGAAUGGGGAAACCCAGUGUGAUUCGUCACACUAUCGUUAACUGAAUACAUAGGUUAACGAGGCGAACCGGGGGAACUGAAACAUCUAAGUACCCCGAGGAAAAGAAAUCAACCGAGAUUCCCCCAGUAGCGGCGAGCGAACGGGGAGCAGCCCAGAGUCUGAAUCAGCUUGUGUGUUAGUGGAACGGUCUGGAAAGUCCGACGGUACAGGGUGAUAGUCCCGUACACCAAAAUGCACAGGCUGUGAACUCGAAGAGUAGGGCGGGACACGUGGUAUCCUGUCUGAAUAUGGGGGGACCAUCCUCCAAGGCUAAAUACUCCUGACUGACCGAUAGUGAACCAGUACCGUGAGGGAAAGGCGAAAAGAACCCCGGCGAGGGGAGUGAAAAAGAACCUGAAACCGUGUACGUACAAGCAGUGGGAGCACCUUCGGGUGUGACUGCGUACCUUUUGUAUAAUGGGUCAGCGACUUAUAUUCUGUAGCAAGGUUAACCGUAUAGGGGAGCCGCAGGGAAACCGAGUCUUAACUGGGCGUUAAGUUGCAGGGUAUAGACCCGAAACCCGGUGAUCUAGCCAUGGGCAGGUUGAAGGUUGGGUAACACUAACUGGAGGACCGAACCGACUAAUGUUGAAAAAUUAGCGGAUGACUUGUGGCUGGGGGUGAAAGGCCAAUCAAACCGGGAGAUAGCUGGUUCUCCCCGAAAGCUAUUUAGGUAGCGCCUCGUGAAUUCAUCUUCGGGGGUAGAGCACUGUUUCGGCUAGGGGGUCAUCCCGACUUACCAACCCGAUGCAAACUACGAAUACCGAAGAAUGUUAUCACGGGAGACACACGGCGGGUGCUAACGUCCGUCGUGAAGAGGGAAACAACCCAGACCGCCAGCUAAGGUCCCAAAGUCAUGGUUAAGUGGGAAACGAUGUGGGAAGGCACAGACAGCCAGGAUGUUGGCUUAGAAGCAGCCAUCAUUUAAAGAAAGCGUAAUAGCUCACUGGUCGAGUCGGCCUGCGCGGAAGAUGUAACGGGGCUAAACCAUGCACCGAAGCUGCGGCAGCGACACUAUGUGUUGUUGGGUAGGGGAGCGUUCUGUAAGCCUGCGAAGGUGACCUGUGAGGGUUGCUGGAGGUAUCAGAAGUGCGAAUGCUGACAUAAGUAACGAUAAAGCGGGUGAAAAGCCCGCUCGCCGGAAGACCAAGGGUUCCUGUCCAACGUUAAUCGGGGCAGGGUGAGUCGACCCCUAAGGCGAGGCCGAAAGGCGUAGUCGAUGGGAAACAGGUUAAUAUUCCUGUACUUGGUGUUACUGCGAAGGGGGGACGGAGAAGGCUAUGUUAGCCGGGCGACGGUUGUCCCGGUUUAAGCAUGUAGGCUGGUUGUCCAGGCAAAUCCGGAUAAUCAAGGCUGAGGUGUGAUGACGAGGCACUACGGUGCUGAAGUAACAAAUGCCCUGCUUCCAGGAAAAGCCUCUAAGCAUCAGGUAACAUUAAAUCGUACCCCAAACCGACACAGGUGGUCAGGUAGAGAAUACCAAGGCGCUUGAGAGAACUCGGGUGAAGGAACUAGGCAAAAUGGUGCCGUAACUUCGGGAGAAGGCACGCUGGUGUGUAGGUGAAGUCCCUGCGGAUGGAGCUGAGACCAGUCGAAGAUACCAGCUGGCUGCAACUGUUUAUUAAAAACACAGCACUGUGCAAACACGAAAGUGGACGUAUACGGUGUGACGCCUGCCCGGUGCCGGAAGGUUAAUUGAUGGGGUUAUCCGUAAGGAGAAGCUCUUGAUCGAAGCCCCGGUAAACGGCGGCCGUAACUAUAACGGUCCUAAGGUAGCGAAAUUCCUUGUCGGGUAAGUUCCGACCUGCACGAAUGGCGUAAUGAUGGCCAGGCUGUCUCCACCCGAGACUCAGUGAAAUUGAACUCGCUGUGAAGAUGCAGUGUACCCGCGGCAAGACGGAAAGACCCCGUGAACCUUUACUAUAGCUUGACACUGAACAUUGAGCCUUGAUGUGUAGGAUAGGUGGGAGGCUUUGAAGCGUGGACGCCAGUCUGCGUGGAGCCAACCUUGAAAUACCACCCUUUAAUGUUUGAUGUUCUAACGUUGGCCCCUUACCGGGGUUGCGGACAGUGUCUGGUGGGUAGUUUGACUGGGGCGGUCUCCUCCCAAAGCGUAACGGAGGAGCACGAAGGUUAGCUAAUCCUGGUCGGACAUCAGGAGGUUAGUGCAAUGGCAUAAGCUAGCUUGACUGCGAGCGUGACGGCGCGAGCAGGUGCGAAAGCAGGUCAUAGUGAUCCGGUGGUUCUGAAUGGAAGGGCCAUCGCUCAACGGAUAAAAGGUACUCCGGGGAUAACAGGCUGAUACCGCCCAAGAGUUCAUAUCGACGGCGGUGUUUGGCACCUCGAUGUCGGCUCAUCACAUCCUGGGGCUGAAGUAGGUCCCAAGGGUAUGGCUGUUCGCCAUUUAAAGUGGUACGCGAGCUGGGUUUAGAACGUCGUGAGACAGUUCGGUCCCUAUCUGCCGUGGGCGCUGGAGAAUUGAGGGGGGCUGCUCCUAGUACGAGAGGACCGGAGUGGACGCAUCACUGGUGUUCGGGUUGUCAUGCCAAUGGCACUGCCCGGUAGCUAAAUGCGGAAGAGAUAAGUGCUGAAAGCAUCUAAGCACGAAACUUGCCCCGAGAUGAGUUCUCCCUGAGACUUUAAGUCUCCUGAAGGAACGUUGAAGACGACGACGUUGAUAGGCCGGGUGUGUAAGCGCAGCGAUGCGUUGAGCUAACCGGUACUAAUGAACCGUGAGGCUUAACCUU
This 2900-nucleotide ribosomal RNA is filed under the name Klebsiella pneumoniae. RNAcentral's name for it is "bacterial LSU rRNA". It matches the Rfam family "Bacterial large subunit ribosomal RNA". Lineage: Bacteria; Pseudomonadati; Pseudomonadota; Gammaproteobacteria; Enterobacterales; Enterobacteriaceae. The record is from RNAcentral.